GGGCUCUCCUUCUAUUCUCAGGAGGAAACUAUGUCCAAUGGAAUAGGUAACUUGGAAAUUGGAUAGGAUUAUCCUUUUCAUCUCUACCCCAUAUGAAUGCUCAUGAAAUCAAAGCCAUAAAUAGAGCCUAAUAUACUAUAAAUUCAAGAAGGUGAAGAGGGAAGGAAGGCUAGGUCCUUUGUCACAUAGAAAUUUUCAGUUUAGGUUUUUUUGUUUUUUAGUUUUUCCUAGUCAUGAUAGUACCAUAAGAGAUAGUCUUUGUAUUCCUUUCUUUCUUGCCCUACUUUUCUUGCACUUCUUUCCUCUCUUUGUCACUCUUUACUUCUCUUCACUAGCAAGGUAUCUCAAAUUCCUUUGCUAUUGCUUUACCCCCUCCGUAGCGUUUCUCCAUAUAAAAUCAAGUUAUUUCAUUAGAGGCCAUUGUCUCCAAGAAUAACAUAGAAGAAUGGCAAUGGGUGCAAUGUCUGUGACAGUAACAGUUGCUGCUGCUGCAGCUGGGAUUUGUUUCUUCGACAAAAGCCACUCCAAAGCUCAGGAGGUGGGAAGCAGAAUGAGAUCAUCUAGUGAAAACAUGGUGGCAAAAGUGAAGAAGACCAGUGAGAUGCCAAAAUUAGCACCCCAACUGGAUGGAUUAAACUGUUUUGAAACAUUAAUAUGUCAUUGAUUCUGCUUGGUCUCCGUGGUUAAUUAUCUCCAACACUGCCUUGCAGAGGUUGUUAUUAAUGAUAAACCAUGGACAUCUCCUUCUUUAUCCAAAACAUUACUUAAUGCUUCUGUUGUAGCUAGUCAUGCAUUGCAUUGAUUAGACAUUACUAAGGAAAAAUGCUACAAUUUUUAGUCUAAACUUUUUCGGAUUAUGAUCUAUUUGUUAAUUCUUAUGGCAUGAAAUGAAAGAGGUUGAAUUGGAGGAAAUCAGGAGAGGGAUGUCUCCUAUGAAACUUCUCAUUCUAUUAAGAUUAGAUAUUGUACUUGAGCAGAGCAUGCCCAGAAGGAAGAUUAAAACCUUAAUGGGUGUUUUUAACUGAUAAUAUGGGAGAAGCUAUGCCAUCAAAGCACAGGACAUCAUGUUGACAAAUAUUUCUGCAACAAGCGGGCUGAAAUGAGACUGAUGAACAUAAACAAUGACAACAAGUAGAGCAGACGAUAUAUGGACCUCUAAGUAUCUGUGGUUUAACUGAUUGAAGAGAAAACUUCUGCUUUGAGUAAAAGCAUCCUUAUCAUAUCGCAUUAUCAACAUGUUUCUGAAGUAUGAUACAAAAUUAUACAACCUCCCACUCCCACUGAAAAGGGAAGAGUGACACUGGUUGU
This is a long non-coding RNA of Populus euphratica (Euphrates poplar), 1308 nucleotides long. RefSeq lists it as uncharacterized. The transcript is spliced from 2 exons. Lineage: Eukaryota; Viridiplantae; Streptophyta; Magnoliopsida; Malpighiales; Salicaceae. The record is from RefSeq and is a predicted model, not a curated record.